This 253-nucleotide ribosomal RNA is filed under the name uncultured bacterium. Its description in RNAcentral is "partial 16S ribosomal RNA". It matches the Rfam family "Bacterial small subunit ribosomal RNA", at positions 524 to 776 of the family's 1533-position model. The record is from RNAcentral.
UACGUAGGUGGCAAGCGUUGUCCGGAAUUAUUGGGCGUAAAGCGCGCGCAGGCGGUCCUUUAAGUCUGAUGUGAAAGCCCACGGCUCAACCGUGGAGGGUCAUUGGAAACUGGGGGACUUGAGUACAGAAGAGGAAAGCGGAAUUCCACGUGUAGCGGUGAAAUGCGUAGAUAUCGAGAGGAACACCUGCGGCGAAGGCGGGUAGCUGGGCCGACACUGACGCUGAGGCGCGAAAGCCAGGGGAGCGAACGGG